GUGCUCGCUUCGGCAGCACGUAUACUAAAAUUGGAACGAUACAGAGAAGAUUAGCAUGGCCCCUGCGCAAGGAUGACAGGCAAAUUCGUGAAGCGUUCAAAGUAUUU
Small nuclear RNA from Heterocephalus glaber (naked mole-rat), 107 nucleotides. The record is from Ensembl. Lineage: Eukaryota; Metazoa; Chordata; Mammalia; Rodentia; Bathyergidae.